AGCUCCAAUAGCGUAUAUUAAAGUUGCUGCAGUUAAAAAGCUCGUAGUUGCAUUUCCGAGGCAAGGGAUUAGUCCGACCUUUGGUGGGUAUUUAAUCCUCUUGCCUCGUCCUUGAGUGGUGCUUCUUGGUAUUAAGUUAUCGAGGAGAUAGCCGCUCAUCGUUUACUGUGAGAAAAUUAGAGUGUUCAAAGCAGGCUUAUGCCGUUGAAUAUAUUAGCAUGGAAUAAUAAGAUAGGACCUCGGUACUAUUUUGUGGGUUUGAGAACCAAGGUAAUGAUGAAUAGGGACAGUUGGGGGUAUUCGUAUUCAGUGGUCAGAGGUGAAAUUCUUAGAUUUACGGAAGACGAACUACUGCGAAAGCAUUUACCAAGGAUGUUUUCA
This 381-nucleotide ribosomal RNA is filed under the name uncultured marine Chaetocerotaceae. RNAcentral's name for it is "SSU rRNA". It matches the Rfam family "Eukaryotic small subunit ribosomal RNA", at positions 587 to 972 of the family's 1831-position model. Lineage: Eukaryota; Bacillariophyta; Thalassiosirophyceae; Chaetocerotales; Chaetocerotaceae. The record is from RNAcentral.